This 485-nucleotide ribosomal RNA is filed under the name Granulicatella sp. canine oral taxon 095. RNAcentral describes it as "bacterial SSU rRNA". It matches the Rfam family "Bacterial small subunit ribosomal RNA", at positions 9 to 474 of the family's 1533-position model. The record is from RNAcentral. Lineage: Bacteria; Bacillati; Bacillota; Bacilli; Lactobacillales; Carnobacteriaceae.
GAGUUUGAUUCUGGCUCAGGACGAACGCGGCGGCGUGCCUAAUACAUGCAAGUCGAACGAACGGAGAAAGAAGCUUGCUUUUUUCAAAGUUAGUGGCGAACGGGUGAGUAACACGUGGGUAACCUGCCCAUCAGAGGGGGAUAACAUUCGGAAACGGAUGCUAAAACCGCAUAGGUUCCUUAGUUGCAUGACUGAGGAAGGAAAAGAGGCGUAAGCUUCUGCUGGUGGAUGGACCCGCGGUGCAUUAGCUAGUUGGUGAGGUAACGGCUCACCAAGGCGAUGAUGCAUAGCCGACCUGAGAGGGUGAUCGGCCACAUUGGGACUGAGACACGGCCCAAACUCCUACGGGAGGCAGCAGUAGGGAAUCUUCCGCAAUGGACGCAAGUCUGACGGAGCAACGCCGCGUGAGUGAAGAAGGUUUUCGGAUCGUAAAACUCUGUUGUUAGAGAAGAAUAAGCAUAAUAGUAACUGAUUAUGCCGUGACG